GACGAACGCUGGCGGCGUGCUUAACACAUGCAAGUCGAACGGAAAGGCCCUGCUUUUGUGGGGUGCUCGAGUGGCGAACGGGUGAGUAACACGUGAGUAACCUGCCCUUGACUUUGGGAUAACUUCAGGAAACUGGGGCUAAUACCGGAUAGGAGCUCCUGCUGCAUGGUGGGGGUUGGAAAGUUUCGGCGGUUGGGGAUGGACUCGCGGCUUAUCAGCUUGUUGGUGGGGUAGUGGCCUACCAAGGCUUUGACGGGUAGCCGGCCUGAGAGGGUGACCGGCCACAUUGGGACUGAGAUACGGCCCAGACUCCUACGGGAGGCAGCAGUGGGGAAUAUUGCACAAUGGGCGGAAGCCUGAUGCAGCAACGCCGCGUGCGGGAUGACGGCCUUCGGGUUGUAAACCGCUUUCGCCCGUGACGAAGUGUGAGUGACGGUAAUGGGUAAAGAAGCACCGGCUAACUACGUG
RNAcentral lists this ribosomal RNA (468 nucleotides) under uncultured bacterium. RNAcentral's name for it is "partial 16S ribosomal RNA". It matches the Rfam family "Bacterial small subunit ribosomal RNA", at positions 28 to 507 of the family's 1533-position model. The record is from RNAcentral.